RNAcentral lists this ribosomal RNA (425 nucleotides) under uncultured bacterium. RNAcentral's name for it is "partial 16S ribosomal RNA". It matches the Rfam family "Bacterial small subunit ribosomal RNA", at positions 354 to 796 of the family's 1533-position model. The record is from RNAcentral.
GUGGGGAAUAUUGGACAAUGGGCGCAAGCCUGAUCCAGCCAUGCCGCGUGAGUGAUGAAGGCCUUAGGGUUGUAAAGCUCUUUCAGUGGGGACGAUAAUGACGGUACCCACAGAAGAAGCCCCGGCUAACUUCGUGCCAGCAGCCGCGGUAAUACGAAGGGGGCUAGCGUUGUUCGGAUUUACUGGGCGUAAAGCGCACGUAGGCGGGUCGUUAAGUCGGGGGUGAAAUCCUGGAGCUCAACUCCAGAACUGCCUUCGAUACUGGCGACCUAGAGUCCGGAAGAGGUGAGUGGAACUCCUAGUGUAGAGGUGGAAUUCGUAGAUAUUAGGAAGAACACCAGUGGCGAAGGCGGCUCACUGGUCCGGUACUGACGCUGAGGUGCGAAAGCGUGGGGAGCAAACAGGAUUAGAAACCCGGGUAGUCC